UAGCUAACUGAAAUCAUAGUUGUGUCAACUGUGAUANGGUAAGGNACAAUAAUGAUAUYAUCUUACUAUUAGUGUCGUCCAAAUACUAGUGCCAGAAGACUCGGUAAGGCUAGAGACGCAAACGUUAGUCAUCUUUAACAGGCGUAAAGGGUUUGUAGGCUGCUUUAAAAAUUUUAUAAAUUUUUCCUUAUGCUAUCACACAUAUUUGAUAUAUAUAUUAUAUAUAAAUAAGAAAAUUAUAGAAUGAAUUAAAGCUAGAAUCAAGNNNNNNNNANNNNAAAUAAUACUUAGAGUAGGAUUGACAACUAUAAAUCCUAAGUGGAAUAUUAAUGGCGAAAGCUUUUUUCUAUUACUGAUUGACGCUGAGAAACUAAGGGGAGGAAAGAAAAAAGGAUUAGAGACCCUCGUAUCCCUCUCUGUCAACGAUGAAUGGUAGUUACUAGAUUAUUAAAACUAGGGACGAUGUUAACACGAAAACCAUUCCGCCUUGUGAGUACGACUGCAAAGUUGAAAACAAAAAAAUUAGUCGGUU
RNAcentral lists this ribosomal RNA (532 nucleotides) under Peniophorella guttulifera. RNAcentral describes it as "partial 16S ribosomal RNA". It matches the Rfam family "Bacterial small subunit ribosomal RNA", at positions 404 to 918 of the family's 1533-position model. Lineage: Eukaryota; Fungi; Basidiomycota; Agaricomycetes; Hymenochaetales. The record is from RNAcentral.